Non-coding RNA from Hippocampus zosterae (dwarf seahorse), 547 nucleotides. The record is from the annotation of a RefSeq genome assembly. NCBI's taxonomy places the organism in Eukaryota, Metazoa, Chordata, Actinopteri, Syngnathiformes, Syngnathidae.
UGCGCUCGCAGCUUGAUUUGCAUGAGCUUCUACGCUUAGCCGCUUCGCCGCUUCUUCAAAAGUCUGCAUCCUUUCUUUUCACGCAAACUCCACUCGCAACCCGAGUCAGGAUGUGGUCUCACGCGCUCGCCCUCGCCCUUUGGGCUCUCCUGAUUCCAGGAUCUUCCGCCGAGGAUUUUCCGAGGCAGACGGACAGAGUCAAGGCCGUUUCUCUUGGGGGCACGGUGACCAUCACCGCCACGGCGAAUUCAAACACUAGAUAUGAUCUCAGUUGGUACCAAGUGAAACCUGGACAGGCUCCCAAACUCCUCAUCUACGCCGCAACCGCUCGCUUCUCCGGCACGCCAUCUCGAUUCAGCGCCACACAAUCCGGUUCCGACUACACUCUGACCAUCAGGGGUGUCCAGGCGGAAGACGUGGCUGAUUAUUACGCUUUUGCCUGGUACAGCAGCGGCUGGUAGACACGGUGAUUCAGACGAGUGCAAAAACCUCCUUCGACUUUGAGCGAAGUGAAAGUGGCAAGAAGAAGACAUUCUGAAUGAUGAGC